GCACUAGUGUGGAGUCCCACAAUAGGACGAAACGGCCGUCCAGUGC
This 46-nucleotide non-coding RNA is filed under the name Schistosoma haematobium. The record is from RNAcentral. Lineage: Eukaryota; Metazoa; Platyhelminthes; Trematoda; Strigeidida; Schistosomatidae.